Molecule: ribosomal RNA, 442 nt
Filed under: uncultured bacterium
Lineage: Bacteria
Description: partial 16S ribosomal RNA
Rfam family: Bacterial small subunit ribosomal RNA
Source: RNAcentral
CCUACGGGAGGCAGCAGUGGGGGAUAUUGCACAAUGGGGGAAACCCUGAUGCAGCGACGCCGCGUGGGCGAAGAAGUAUUUCGGUAUGUAAAGCCCUAUCAGCAGGGAAGAAGAAAUGACGGUACCUGAGUAAGAAGCACCGGCUAAAUACGUGCCAGCAGCCGCGGUAAUACGUAUGGUGCAAGCGUUAUCCGGAUUUACUGGGUGUAAAGGGAGCGCAGGCGGCACGGCAAGCCGGAUGUGAAAGCCCGCGGCCCAACCGCGGGACUGCAUUGGGAACUACCGGGCUGGAGGGCCGGAGAGGUAGGCGGAAGUCCUAGUGUAGCGGUGAAAGGCGUAGAUAGUAGGAGGAACACCAGUGGCGAAGGCGGCCUACUGGACGGUGACUGACGCUGAGGCUCGAAAGCGUGGGGAGCAAACAGGAUUAGAUACCCGGGUAGUC